UGGUCUGAGAGGAUGAUCAGUCACACUGGAACUGAGACACGGUCCAGACUCCUACGGGAGGCAGCAGUAGGGAAUAUUGCGCAAUGGGGGAAACCCUGACGCAGCAACGCCGCGUGGAGGAUGACACUUUUCGGAGCGUAAACUCCUUUUCUUAGGGAAGAAUUCUGACGGUACCUAAGGAAUAAGCACCGGCUAACUCCGUGCCAGCAGCCGCGGUAAUACGGAGGGUGCAAGCGUUACUCGGAAUCACUGGGCGUAAAGGGCGCGUAGGCGGAUUAUCAAGUCUCUUGUGAAAUCUAAUGGCUUAACCAUUAAACUGCUUGGGAAACUGAUAGUCUAGAGUGAGGGAGAGGCAGAUGGAAUUGGUGGUGUAGGGGUAAAAUCCGUAGAUAUCACCAAGAAUACCCAUUGCGAAGGCGAUCUGCUGGAACUCAACUGACGCUAAGGCGCGAAAGCGUGGGGAGCAAACAGGAUUAGAUACCCUGGUAGUCCACGCCCUAAACGAUGUACACUAGUUGUUGGGGUGCUAGUCAUCUCAGUAAUGCAGCUAACGCAUUAAGUGUACCGCCUGGGGAGUACGGUCGCAAGAUUAAAACUCAAAGGAAUAGACGGGGACCCGCACAAGCGGUGGAGCAUGUGGUUUAAUUCGAAGAUACGCGAAGAACCUUACCUGGGCUUGAUAUCCUAAGAACCUUUUAGAGAUAAGAGGGUGCUAGCUUGCUAGAACUUAGAGACAGGUGCUGCACGGCUGUCGUCAGCUCGUGUCGUGAGAUGUUGGGUUAAGUCCCGCAACGAGCGCAACCCACGUAUUUAGUUGCUAACGGUUCGGCCGAGCACUCUAAAUAGACUGCCUUCGUAAGGAGGAGGAAGGUGUGGACGACGUCAAGUCAUCAUGGCCCUUAUGCCCAGGGCGACACACGUGCUACAAUGGCAUAUACAAUGAGACGCAAUACCGCGAGGUGGAGCAAAUCUAUAAAAUAUGUCCCAGUUCGGAUUGUUCUCUGCAACUCGAGAGCAUGAAGCCGGAAUCGCUAGUAAUCGUAGAUCAGCCAUGCUACGGUGAAUACGUUCCCGGGUCUUGUACUCACCGCCCGUCACACCAUGGGAGUUGAUUUCACUCGAAGCCGGAAUACUAAACUAGUUACCG
This 1147-nucleotide ribosomal RNA is filed under the name Campylobacter coli. Its description in RNAcentral is "bacterial SSU rRNA". It matches the Rfam family "Bacterial small subunit ribosomal RNA", at positions 288 to 1455 of the family's 1533-position model. The record is from RNAcentral. Lineage: Bacteria; Pseudomonadati; Campylobacterota; Epsilonproteobacteria; Campylobacterales; Campylobacteraceae.